Molecule: ribosomal RNA, 536 nt
Filed under: Rana macrocnemis macrocnemis
Lineage: Eukaryota; Metazoa; Chordata; Amphibia; Anura; Ranidae
Description: partial 16S ribosomal RNA
Rfam family: Bacterial large subunit ribosomal RNA
Source: RNAcentral
CAGCCUGCCCAGUGACAAAGUUCAACGGCCGCGGUACCCUAACCGUGCGAAGGUAGCAUAAUCACUUGUUCUUUAAAUGAGGACUUGUAUCAACGGCACUACGAGGGCUAUACUGUCUCCUUUUUCUAAUCAGUGAAACUGAUCUCCCCGUGAAGAAGCGGGGAUCAAGAUAUAAGACGAGAAGACCCCAUGGAGCUUUAAACUUACCACCCACCUCUGUGGUACCACACCCUUCAACACAAGAGACCUGCGUGCUAGUUUUAGGUUGGGGGGACCACGGAGUAUAAUUAAACCUCCACAACAAAUGGGCUAAUACCCUUAUCCACGAGACACAACUCUAAGAAUUACUAAACUAAUGCUUAUGACCCGAUAUUCGAUCAAUGAACCAAGUUACCCUGGGGAUAACAGCGCAAUCUACUUCAAGAGCCCCUAUCGACAAGUAGGUUUACGACCUCGAUGUUGGAUCAGGGUAUCCCGGUGGUGCAGCCGCUACCGAUGGUUCGUUUGUUCAACGAUUAAAACCCUACGUGAUCUGA